CCUACGGGAGGCAGCAGUGAGGAAUAUUGGUCAAUGGGAGAGAUCCUGAACCAGCUAAGCCGCGUGAGGGAAGACGGCCCUCUGGGUUGUAACCCUCUUUUGUCGGAGCACAAAACCCGGGACGAGUCCCGGACUACGUGUAUCCGAAGCAAAAGCAUCGGAAAACUCCGUGCCGUCAGACGCGGUAAUACGGAGGAUGCGAGCGUUAUCCGGAUUUAGUGGGGUUAAAGGUGGUGCAGGCGGUCUGGUAAGUCAGCUGUAAAAUUGCGGGGCUAAACCCCGUCGAGCCUUUGAAACUGGCAGACUUGAGUUGGCGAGAAGUACGCGGAAUGCGCGGUGUAGCAGUGAAAUGCAUAGAUAUCGCGCAGAACUCCGAUUGCGAAGGCAGCGUACCGGCGCCAGACUGACGCUGAGGCACGAAAGCGUGGGGAUCGAACAGGAUUAGAUACCCUUGUAGUC
This 459-nucleotide ribosomal RNA is filed under the name uncultured bacterium. Its description in RNAcentral is "partial 16S ribosomal RNA". It matches the Rfam family "Bacterial small subunit ribosomal RNA", at positions 338 to 795 of the family's 1533-position model. The record is from RNAcentral.